AAAGGUAGCAUAAUCACUUGUCUCCUAAAUAGAGACUAGUAUGAAUGGCCAAAUGAAGAUUUACCUGUCUCUUAUAAUUAAUCUAUGAAACUAAUCUUUUAGUUCAAAAGCUAAAAUAAUGUCACAAGACGAAAAGACCCUGUGGAACUUUUAAACGACGGGCAACCUAUUUUAUGCCCUACUCGCUUUUAGUUGGGGCAACUUUGGAAAAAAUCAAAACUUCCAAUACAAUUCAAGGUGGACACACCUACAUGCUUCCCCAUGACCCAGUAACACUGAAUAAAGAAACAAGCUACCCCAGGGAUAACAGCGCCAUCCCCUCCUAGAGCCCCCAUCGACGAGCGGGGUUUACGACCUCGAUGUUGGAUCAGGGCCCCCAGACAGUGCAGAAGCUGUUAACGGUUUGUUUGUUCAACAACUAACGCCCUACGUGAUCUGA
Molecule: ribosomal RNA, 439 nt
Filed under: Bachia whitei
Lineage: Eukaryota; Metazoa; Chordata; Lepidosauria; Squamata; Gymnophthalmidae
Description: Bachia sp. AB-2018a partial 16S ribosomal RNA
Rfam family: Bacterial large subunit ribosomal RNA
Source: RNAcentral